RNAcentral lists this ribosomal RNA (274 nucleotides) under uncultured bacterium. Its description in RNAcentral is "partial 16S ribosomal RNA". It matches the Rfam family "Bacterial small subunit ribosomal RNA", at positions 523 to 796 of the family's 1533-position model. The record is from RNAcentral.
CUACGGAGGGUGCAAGCGUUAUCCGGAUUUAUUGGGUUUAAAGGGUGCGCAGGCGGACCUGUCAGUCAGUGGUGAAAUCCCGGGGCUCAACCCCGGAACUGCCAUUGAUACUACAGGUCUUGAAUACGGUUGAAGUAGGCGGAAUGUAGCAUGUAGCGGUGAAAUGCAUAGAUAUGCUACAGAACACCGAUCGCGAAGGCAGCUUACUAAGCCGAUAUUGACGCUCAGGCACGAAAGCGUGGGUAGCGAACAGGAUUAGAAACCCUAGUAGUCC